Molecule: long non-coding RNA, 785 nt
Filed under: Monodelphis domestica (gray short-tailed opossum)
Lineage: Eukaryota; Metazoa; Chordata; Mammalia; Didelphimorphia; Didelphidae
Description: lncRNA (ENSMODG00000035004.2)
Source: RNAcentral
ACUUUCACUAGGAAAGGUUGCCCCGGCCAGUUAGGUACACAUUAUUAAUCAAUAGAUUAAUAAAUGAGUAUCGGUUCCUUUAAUCAAACUUCUGGGUGUCCAGACUCACUUUAUGAAGUGCACCACUUCAAGAGCUUCCUUUUCAAAGCAAAAAAAAAUGAUGCAAAAGCAACUAGAAAAAUUGAGAACAAGAACCAAGAAGCCACAGUCAGCAUCACAUAGGAUUAUGAAGCAAGUGUGAGAAAGGAAAACUUGGGAUACAAAACACCAAAAGAUAACAACACAAAGACUUAUAACGACAAAUAACUGAUUCUGUAAACCUGAACAGAAUUCUACAAGAGGUGUUGAUUAAUUCAGAUCAAGUGUAUUCCAUAAGAGUUUCUAAUUUUGAUUAUGAUAUAUCCAACUGCUACAGGGGCAAGAAGCAUAAACAAUCUCGGUUUAGACAAACUCUUUUCAUCCAAAGUGUAUUCUCUGCGUGGCCCCAUAUUCUUCAAAUUUGUUGUUCACUUCAACAAGAUGAGGCAAGGACCUGAGAGCUAUUGUCACGGACCAUCUCAUCUUUUUAUUUGUAUUUUCAAUGUCUGGCACAAUGUCUGGCACAAGCUACCUAUUGGAGCUAUUGGAGCAACCUGUCCAGAUCCAGGACUUUACCUUAAAGCUCUCCCACAACAUCCUUACAAUCAGGAUCCAGCCCUAAACUGAGAAAGGGGCUUGGUCCUGACUUGUUGGGCAAUUGGCAUGUAAAUAAUAAAUUGAAAUGCUCAGAAGUUUGAAUUUUUGUU